Molecule: long non-coding RNA, 884 nt
Organism: Felis catus (domestic cat)
Lineage: Eukaryota; Metazoa; Chordata; Mammalia; Carnivora; Felidae
Exons: 3
Source: RefSeq, a predicted model, not a curated record
CAAAAAUACAGAUUCGAAAGGGUACAUGCACUCCAACGUUUACAACAACAUUAUCAACAAUAGCCAAACUACAGAAGAGCCCAAAUGUCCACUGACUGAUGAAUGGAUAAAGAAAAUGUGAUAAGGAAACUGAUAUCAAGGAUGAAGCGAUUUGGCCAGCAUCUUGAUUGCACAGCAUUUUGUACAGAGCGAAGAUUAGAACCUAGACCUCCUAACCAUUGGUGCUCUUCCCACUACAUCACCCAGCAGAAUCAAUGACACGCUGGCAUAAUUUGCCUCAGUCAAGAAAGCAAAACACGCAGGAGAGCAAGUUGAAAUGGAAGAUCCCACAUUUUCCCAAAAGGCAGAGACACCUACCUUUCGCACCUUUUCUACAUGUCAGAGUAGACAACUGAGGAGAAAAGGACCCCAUGAUUGGGAGGAGAGGAGAAGCCCUCAUUAAAAAGCAUGAACUCACUCAAGUGGUUUUGUCACUGUGUGGAAAUUCUAAUAAAGUGCUCUCUGCUGCAAAGUUUGAUGAUUGCAUAGUGGGGACUAUAUACAAAACGACAUCAGACCCCCAUGAAGACUGCAGCUUAACCCUAAAUUGGGAAGAAUCAAAGUUAGUAUACUGAAAGAACUUAACUGCAUCGUACAAUUCCAUGUCAAGCAUGUUUUUUUUUAUUGCCUUUGUUUGUCUGUUUGUUUAUAUUUGCUUAUGUAGCACAUAAUCUUCUGAAUGAGCUCUGAAGGGAAUAGUGCAUCUCAUGUGGGUCCUUUUUGAGAUAGAAGGAGACCCCUGAAAUAUCCUAGAAUGUCUUGCCUUAUUCUGAAUUAAUCGACCACACCACCUGAUGGGGAGUUCUUACUGUCCUGUUAGUCACAGGGGACCGAAGAGAGAAUCU